Molecule: ribosomal RNA, 273 nt
Filed under: uncultured bacterium
Lineage: Bacteria
Description: partial 16S ribosomal RNA
Rfam family: Bacterial small subunit ribosomal RNA
Source: RNAcentral
AUACGGAGGGUGCAAGCGUUAUCCGGAAUCACUGGGUUUAAAGGUGCGUAGGCGGCGCAAUAAGUCAGAGGUGAAAGCCCCCAGCUUAACUGGGGAAUUGCCUUUGAUACUGUUGCACUUGAAUCAGGUUGAGGUUAGCGGAAUGUGUCAUGUAGCGGUGAAAUGCAUAGAUAUGACAUAGAACACCAAUUGCGAAGGCAGCUGACUAGACCUGUAUUGACGCUGAGGCACGAAAGCGUGGGGAGCGAACAGGAUUAGAAACCCUAGUAGUCC